CUACAGGCUUAACACAUGCAAGUCGAGGGGCAUCAGGAAGAAAGCUUGCUUUCUUUGCUGGCGACCGGCGCACGGGUGAGUAACACGUAUCCAACCUGCCCUUUACUCGGGGAUAGCCUUUCGAAAGAAAGAUUAAUACCCGAUGGCAUAAUGAUUCCGCAUGGUUUCAUUAUUAAAGGAUUCCGGUAAAGGAUGGGGAUGCGUUCCAUUAGGUUGUUGGUGAGGUAACGGCUCACCAAGCCUUCGAUGGAUAGGGGUUCUGAGAGGAAGGUCCCCCACAUUGGAACUGAGACACGGUCCAAACUCCUACGGGAGGCAGCAGUGAGGAAUAUUGGUCAAUGGGCGCUAGCCUGAACCAGCCAAGUAGCGUGAAGGAUGAAGGCUCUAUGGGUCGUAAACUUCUUUUAUAUAAGAAUAAAGUGCAGUAUGUAUACUGUUUUGUAUGUAUUAUAUGAAUAAGGAUCGGCUAACUCCGUGUCAGCAGCCGCGGUAAUACGGAGGAUCCGAGCGUUAUCCGGAUUUAUUGGGUUUAAAGGGAGCGUAGGUGGACUGGUAAGUCAGUUGUGAAAGUUUGCGGCUCAACCGUAAAAUUGCAGUUGAUACUGUCAGUCUUGAGUACAGUAGAGGUGGGCGGAAUUCGUGGUGUAGCGGUGAAAUGCUUAGAUAUCACGAAGAACUCCGAUUGCGAAGGCAGCUCACUGGACUGCAACUGACACUGAUGCUCGAAAGUGUGGGUAUCAAACAGGAUUAGAUACCCUGGUAGUCCACACAGUAAACGAUGAGUACUCGCUGUUUGCGAUAUACAGUAAGCGGCCAAGCGAAAGCAUUAAGUAUUCCACCUGGGGAGUACGCCGGCAACGGUGAAACUCAAAGGAAUUGACGGGGCCCGCACAAGCGGAGGAACAUGUGGUUUAAUUCGAUGAUACGCGAGGAACCUUACCCGGGCUUAAAUUGCAGUGGAAUGAUGUGGAAACAUGUCAGUGAGCAAUCACCGCUGUGAAGGUGCUGCAUGGUUGUCGUCAGCUCGUGCCGUGAGGUGUCGGCUUAAGUGCCAUAACGAGCGCAACCCUUAUCUUUAGUUACUAACAGGUUAUGCUGAGGACUCUAGAGAGACUGCCGUCGUAAGAUGUGAGGAAGGUGGGGAUGACGUCAAAUCAGCACGGCCCUUACGUCCGGGGCUACACACGUGUUACAAUGGGGGGUACAGAAGGCAGCUAGCGGGUGACCGUAUGCUAAUCCCAAAAGCCUCUCUCAGUUCGGAUCGAAGUCUGCAACCCGACUUCGUGAAGCUGGAUUCGCUAGUAAUCGCGCAUCAGCCACGGCGCGGUGAAUACGUUCCCGGGCCUUGUACACACCGCCCGUCAAGCCAUGGGAGCCGGGGGUACCUGAAGUACGUAACCGCAAGGAUCGUCCUAGGGUAAAACUGGUGACUGGGGCUAAGUCG
RNAcentral lists this ribosomal RNA (1444 nucleotides) under uncultured organism. RNAcentral describes it as "SSU rRNA". It matches the Rfam family "Bacterial small subunit ribosomal RNA". The record is from RNAcentral.